RNAcentral lists this ribosomal RNA (268 nucleotides) under uncultured actinomycete. RNAcentral's name for it is "partial 16S ribosomal RNA". It matches the Rfam family "Bacterial small subunit ribosomal RNA", at positions 250 to 523 of the family's 1533-position model. Lineage: Bacteria; Bacillati; Actinomycetota; Actinomycetes; Actinomycetales. The record is from RNAcentral.
GGUGUUUGUACGGCUACCAGGCUUUGACGGGUAGCCGGCCUGAGAGGGCGAUCGGCCACACCGGGACUGAGACACGGCCCGGACUCCUACGGGAGGCAGCAGUAGGGAAUCUUGCACAAUGGGCGAAAGCCUGAUGCAGCGAUGCCGCGUGAGGGAUGAAGGCCUUCGGGUCGUAAACCUCUUUCAGCAGGGAAGAAGCCACGGGCAACCGUGGUGACGGUACCUGCAGAAGAAGCCCCGGCUAACUACGUGCCAGCGGCCGCGGCCG